Molecule: ribosomal RNA, 477 nt
Filed under: uncultured bacterium
Lineage: Bacteria
Description: bacterial SSU rRNA
Rfam family: Bacterial small subunit ribosomal RNA
Source: RNAcentral
UUCGCAAUGCCCGAAAGGGUGACGAAGCGACGCCGCGUGUGGGAAGAAGGCCUUCGGGUUGUAAACCACUGUCGGGAGUUAAGAAAUGCAAGGAUAUUAAUAGUGUCUUUGUUUGACUAAGGCUCCGGAGGAAGCCACGGCUAACUCUGUGCCAGCAGCCGCGGUAAUACAGAGGCGGCAAGCGUUGUUCGGAAUUAUUGGGCGUAAAGAGCACGUAGGCGGCUAUGUAAGUCGGUUGUGAAAGCCUUCCGCUCAACGGAAGAACAGCAUCCGAUACUACAUGGCUUGAGUGCGGGAGGGGAGAGUGGAACUUCUGGUGGAGUGGUGAAAUGCGUAGAUAUCAGAAGGAACGCCGGCGGCGAAAGCGGCUCUCUGGCCCAUAACUGACGCUGAGUGUGCGAAAGCUAGGGGAGCAAACGGGAUUAGAUACCCCGGUAGUCCUAGCCGUAAACGAUGGGCACUAAGUAGAGGGGUUUU